GAUGAACGCUGGCGGCGUGCCUAAUACAUGCAAGUCGAGCGAACGGACGAGAAGCUUGUUUCUCUGAUGUUAGCGGCGGACGGGUGAGUAACACGUGGAUAACCUACCUAUAAGACUGGGAUAACUUCGGGAAACCGGAGCUAAUACCGGAUAAUAUUUUGAACCGCAUGGUUCAGAAGUGAAAGACGGUCUUGCUGUUACUUAUAGAUGGAUCCGCGCUGCAUUAGCUAGUUGGUAAGGUAACGGCUUACCAAGGCAACGAUGCAUAGCCGAUCUGAGAGGGUGAUCGGCCACACUGGAACUGAGACACGGUCCAGACUCCUACGGGAGGCAGCAGUGGGGAAUCUUGCACAAUGGGCGAAAGCCUGACGCAGCAACGCCGCGUGAGUGAAGAAGGUCUUCGGAUCGUAAAGCUCUGUUAUUAGGGAAGAACAGCUGUGUAAGUAACUGUGGACGUCUUGACGGUACCUAAUCAGAAAGCCACGGCUAACUACGUG
This 497-nucleotide ribosomal RNA is filed under the name uncultured bacterium. Its description in RNAcentral is "partial 16S ribosomal RNA". It matches the Rfam family "Bacterial small subunit ribosomal RNA", at positions 28 to 507 of the family's 1533-position model. The record is from RNAcentral.